Molecule: long non-coding RNA, 426 nt
Organism: Salvelinus fontinalis (brook trout)
Lineage: Eukaryota; Metazoa; Chordata; Actinopteri; Salmoniformes; Salmonidae
Exons: 6
Source: RefSeq, a predicted model, not a curated record
GGGAUUCAGUAGGUCUAUGGUAUGUGUUAGAGGGAUUCAGUAGGUCUAUGGUAUGUGUUAGAGGGUAGGUCUAUGGUAUGUGUUAGAGGGUAGGCCUAUGGUAUGUGUUAGAGGGUAGGUCUAUGGUAUGUGUUAGAGGGAUUCAGUAGGUCUAUGGUAUGUGUUAGAGGGAUUCAGUAGGCCUAUGGUAUGUGUUAGAGGGAUUCAGUAGGUCUAUGGUAUGUGUUAGAGGGUAGGUCUAUGGUAUGUGUUAGAGGGUAGGUCUAUGGUAUGUGUUAGAGGGUAGGUCUAUGGUAUGUGUUAGAGGGAUUCAGUAGGUCUAUGGUAUGUGUUAGAGGGUAGGUCUAUGGUAUGUGUUAGAGGGAUUCAGUAGGUCUAUGGUAUGUGUUAGAGGGAUUCAGUAGGCCUAUGGUAUGUGUUAGAGGG